CAAACUCCACCAAUGUGCCAACAGGGAAGCUUUAGGUUUAUUAAAUGUUGCUAUGAAGGUAUCACUGUUUUUCUUUGUGAAUGCAAUGUGCUCCAACUGAAACUUGAAUUAGAACUUAGAAGUAAAUCAUUUCAUCUGAAAGGAUUUAGUUGCAUUAAUAACCUCAUAACAUUCUAAUUUUUAUUCCAGUCUUGGUUGGAAAUAGAAUCUCUGUAUUGAUUCAGGUAAAAACUGAACUUAACAGCAUGUUGGAGCAAAACAACCAGAUGAAAACUGUGAUGGUGUUGGAUUGUCAGACCGUAAUGUUGCAGCUCAAAGCAGCUUUUCUAGCUCAGUUCAUUCUGACAUUCAGCUAUGAAUCAACACAGCAGAUGGUGAUCCAUGCUGUGGAAGUCUCACAUCUCCUGAUUUAAUGGAGCUGCUUUGCACUUUUUACACUGUUUAUUCACCAACACUUUAUUUAAUAAAAGUCCCAUCUAGUUUUUAUGAGGAAUGUGAUGUUUUAAUUUCUCUGUGAAUAACUGCAGUCUAAUGCAACAGCUGGAAUUGUAACAUCUGUCCUGAUAUUGAUCAUGAAGUAUUGAUCAGAAUACUUAUGGUUAGCAGUCAUCCCUGAAGUUUUACAUUGAAAUCUUUACUUGUGUUGUGAACUUUGGUAAGAAGCAGAAACGUUAGCGUUGCCAUGGAUACAGGAGUGUUAAAUUCUGUCCAUGUUUCCAUUUUGGGAAAUUCAGUCCAGUUCCAGAAUGUGGAGGAAUUUAGUCUCAUAAUCACAGACAACAAAUAUUAUCUGAAAGUCGAGUUAUUGUUGUUUAUCAGCACAAUACAAAAAGAUUAAUGUUAGAAAUAUUCCAGUUAAGACUCUAGAAUAUCAUGAUUUAUGUAAAAUUUACCUCAAUAAUAUGAAUGUUCAGGUUAAGAUUGUACAGUGAUAUUUAUUAUGUAAGUUUAGCUGAUUAAAGUUUGACUCUGCACUAAAAUAUCAUUUAAAUUUACAUCAUUAUUAUAAUAUUUAGGGUCAGACCCUACAGUAUUGAGAUUAAGAAAUUAAAUAUUCUACAAAAUGUAAAUACACUGAACUCAUUUGGAUAUAUUUAAGUGAGACUUUACAAUAUUAUUUGACACAAAUCUAUCUAAAUCAAAAUUUUAAUAAUUUUUACUCCAACCUUUUACUGGACUGAUUUAAAUAUUAAAAUCACGCCUUUCUAAUCCUCUGCUGUACGUUCAAACCUGAGGCCUUAAAUAGAAACACACAAGUAUCUGUUUGAAGGAACUUCUGCAGAGUCCUGGUUCCAGAACAUGAUGAUAGAAUUAUAGACAAACUUUAACAAAAGCUGCCUGAGAGUUUACAGGUUUUUAUGUUAAAUUUCUUCAGUAAUUUAAUGAGCGUUAUCAGCAAUAAUCAAGGGUUCAUUUGAUGAACUUCAUUUCCUAAAACAUCCGGAAUUGGAGCUCAUAUCUUUGUCAGCUGUAAAGUUUCUGCUCCUUCAAAGUUCACAACACAAUGAAUGAAUUCCUAAAACACUCUCAAUGCUGGAGAACGUUUGUGAUGCUGAAGCAGUGAUCAGUUUUUCUGUUUCUUCUCUGGAGAUGCACAAUGAGGGACGUCUGCAGAGACUGAGAAAGAGUCUCACCACAUCCUGACAUGAGGAAAAAGACUUUAUUGAAGACUACAAUGAGAAAAACUAUCAGACAGCAGACGGCUGCAUUCAAGUCUGUAGCUGCUGAAUUCAUGGAUGAAUCAUCUGGCACUAGAGAAGAAGACCAUCAAACAUCCACGUCAGCUGAUGGAGGUCCAAGAGUCUCACCAAACAAACAACCUACAGAGUGAAGACCUCAAAUCUGAUUGGAUGGCCUCCUAUUCAGCCACAUUUUAGGCUGUUAGAUUGUUCCAGAUAAGACAAGUACAAGAUACUUCAGAGCCGUUCUACCACGAGCCUGAC
Molecule: long non-coding RNA, 1943 nt
Organism: Amphiprion ocellaris (clown anemonefish)
Lineage: Eukaryota; Metazoa; Chordata; Actinopteri; Pomacentridae
Source: Ensembl